AACGAACGCUGGCGGCAGGCUUAACACAUGCAAGUCGAACGCCCCGCAAGGGGAGUGGCAGACGGGUGAGUAACGCGUGGGAAUCUACCUAGUUCUACGGAACAACAGAGGGAAACUUCUGCUAAUACCGUAUACGCCCUAUGGGGGAAAGAUUUAUCGGAAUUAGAUGAGCCCGCGUAAGAUUAGCUAGUUGGUGAGGUAAUGGCUCACCAAGGCGACGAUCUUUAGCUGGUCUGAGAGGAUGAUCAGCCACACUGGGACUGAGACACGGCCCAGACUCCUACGGGAGGCAGCAGUGGGGAAUAUUGGACAAUGGGCGCAAGCCUGAUCCAGCCAUGCCGCGUGAGUGAUGAAGGCCUUAGGGUUGUAAAGCUCUUUCAGUGGGGAAGAUAGUGACGGUACCCACAGAAGAAGCCCCGGCUAACUUCGUGCCAGCCGCCGCGGUAA
RNAcentral lists this ribosomal RNA (447 nucleotides) under uncultured bacterium. RNAcentral's name for it is "partial 16S ribosomal RNA". It matches the Rfam family "Bacterial small subunit ribosomal RNA", at positions 29 to 523 of the family's 1533-position model. The record is from RNAcentral.